CCGACAAAAAAAACAUUACAAAAAAGAAAUGUAAUUUGUGAAAUGCACUUUAAAGAAAGUGAAAUUGAAAAAAGUUAUUUCACAACUAUUAAUGGGAUUCUUUAUGAAAUACCUAAAAGAAUAGCAACUCAGAAAGAUGGAGCUAUUCCAUUAUUUUUGUUCACUGAAAAUAGUCAAAAUGACAUUAAUGUGAAUGAAAUUGUUGAUGAAAAAAUAUUUUUUUCAGAUAUUUUAACAAAAAAACCAGAAGUACCAUUACCUUCUAAAAAUAGUCUUUUGUUUGCGCACCAAAUUUCAUUGUAUAUUUAAAUUGGACAGACAACAAAAUGUUUAAUAGUAAACGCAUAAUUUUAUAUCCGGAUUUGAAAGUUAAGGUGUAUGUUAGUAAAUAUGAAGUAAAAUUAGAUAUUCAAGAGGUACAGCAUAUUAGUGGUAUGACUGCACUGUUUAAAUUAAUAGAUAAGUUUAUUCCAUGUGGCAGUGUUGAUUCUAACAAAUCUAAAACGUGUAAAGAGUAUGUCGUGAAAAAAAAUGUAAAAUUAAGAGGUCGACAAAUCAUGUUCAGUUCCUCUUGUAUAAAAUUAAGGAGGAAAAUAAAUAGAGAGAAAAAAAACAAAUAAAAUGAAAGAGAGUAAAAAUAAAUUAAUAAAACGUUUUAAAACCACUGAUCGGCAAUGUUCAAGACUUAAAAAAAAGUUGACAACCUUAAAGAGCAUAUACAGACAAUUAAAAAAGCGUGUUCUGAAAGUAAAGAGAAAAUUAUUGAGGAAGCAAUUUCACAAUUACCUUGUGAACAGUAAAUUGCUACAAGGACGUGUUUUGCAGCUUCAAAAAUAUCAGACAGUAGAAAUAUGCGUUACACUAGUAACUGGAUUUACGAGUAUAUACUUUUACGCAUAGAAAGUAAGAAGACUUAUGAACAUCUUCGAAAAAGAGAAAUAUUAAAAAUACUAUGUGUAGAUACACUCUCUCGAUAUCUUCGAAUUUUGAAAACAUCUUUCGGAUUCCAGCAAUAUAUUUUUGAAGGAAUGAAAAUUAAAGCAAAUGCAAUGCCUUCGGAGGACAGACGUGGAUAUUAUUAUUAAUCGUUCAAAUAUAAAGUUUGAAGGCUUCACGAACCUAGGAGAUUGGACACUUGAUCAUCAAAAAAAGGCGACCAUGUUUUAGUUUUUAUUUUUCAUUAUUCUUACUGAGAGAAGUGGAUUUUUGUGGAUGCAGUAAUAAAUGAUGGUGCAACUUGGAAUCGAUCUAUGUGGAGUACAUUCGGUGUUACAGAAGAUGAAAAAGCGUUUUUCAUCCGUGUUGUGAUGAAAGAAGAAGAUUAUGGCGAUUUUUCUCGUUAAUGAGGGAUUCCUGUGGCGCAAACGAUCACCCUGACAAAAGGCUGCAAUGUAGAAGGUACAGAAAUUUUCAAAGUAUUGCUCAAUUUAAAAGAUGUAAAUAAUAUUAAUGACAGAAAGGAACAAUGGGAAAGUAUAUUGGACACCAUUAUCGAUAAAGGUUCGUGCAGUGAUUUCAUUAAUGAAGAUGUUAAAAAAGAACAUAAUUAUUCCUACUCUGAAGCAUCAGAAUAUGCGGUUACUUAUGUAGCAGGAUACGUAAGUAGAAAGGGAUCCAGAUUCGUCAAAUUCAUGAAGAAUAAUAAACCUUUUAUUUGCAACGAGUGUUGCUCAUGUAUAAUUAUGGCUGAUAGUGAGACACUUCUCGAGCGCCAUAAGCUCAUACAUUUAAAAACAAAAGGCUUUUUGAAGCAUCCUUCCCUAGAUUUAUACAAAUUGAUUUGUAUAAUUGAGAAUGCAAUCACAAGUGUUGUACAUGAGACAGAUAUUGAGCCAGACACCCUUUUUCAGGUGACGCAAAAGCUUCACGAUUUGUCUCCCAUACCCUUCGUGGGAUGUGUACAACAUUGCGAAAUUUUCACUAAGCGUAUAUUAACUUUUUAUUUGACCACGAGAAUGUUUCUCGUUUGCAAAAGAAAAAGUAUUUAUGAUGGCGUAGAGAGAAAAAAAUUUCAAGAAAAAAUAAAAUCUGCCAAACUUGUAGGAUUUCCAAAAAAAAGAGAUUUAAAAUUUCAAAUAUGGACCCAGCAAACACGUUCUAUAAAUGUUCUAUAACAGUGAUGUCACAGUUUUACAGAACAGUUGUUACAAAAGAGUGACAGAACUGUUCUAUAUUAUGAUAACGUCACAGUUCUAUAACAAUGUUAUGUAACAUGUCUAUAACACGAAAGUCACAAAUGAUCUGUAACUGACGUUCCAAGGUAG
Long non-coding RNA from Leptopilina boulardi, 2264 nucleotides. RefSeq lists it as uncharacterized. Lineage: Eukaryota; Metazoa; Arthropoda; Insecta; Hymenoptera; Figitidae. The transcript has 6 exons. The record is from RefSeq and is a predicted model, not a curated record.